AUUGAACGCUGGCGGCAGGCCUAACACAUGCAAGUCGAGCGGAGCGGCGGACGGGUGAUUAAUGCCUAGGAAUCUGCCUGGUAGUGGGGUCUAACGUCCGGAAACGGGCGCUCAUACCUCAUCCUAUCAGAUUCGCCUAUGUCGGAUUAGCUAGUUGGUGGGGUAAAGGCCUACCAAGGCGACGAUCCGUAACUGGUCUGAGAGGAUGAUCAGUCACACUGGAACGGAGACACGGUCCAGACUCCUACGGGAGGAAGAAGUGGGGAAUAUUGGACAAUGGGCGAAAGCCUGAUCCAGCCAUGCCGCGUGUGUGAAGAAGGUCUUCGGAUUGUAAAGCACUUUAAGUUGGGAGGCGUUACCAACAGAAUAAGCACCGGCUAACUUCGUGCCAGCAGCCGCGGUAAUUC
RNAcentral lists this ribosomal RNA (407 nucleotides) under uncultured bacterium. Its description in RNAcentral is "partial 16S ribosomal RNA". It matches the Rfam family "Bacterial small subunit ribosomal RNA", at positions 30 to 526 of the family's 1533-position model. The record is from RNAcentral.